GGCGGUUCUCAGGUGACGCACCAGAAUCAGGUUCCCUCUCCUCUGGUUCCCGGUGCGUCACCCAAGAACCACA
This is a non-coding RNA of Myotis lucifugus (little brown bat), 73 nucleotides long. Lineage: Eukaryota; Metazoa; Chordata; Mammalia; Chiroptera; Vespertilionidae. The record is from Rfam.